GGAGUAGAGAGGGUCAGGCUGCCUGGGACAGCAAGCAGGCUAUCUGAGGCAGAGCAGGGCUGGGAAAUGGCAGGCAGAGCUGAGGGGCUCUGGCUUGCAUGAAGUCAAGAUAAACAGAUACCAGUAAGACACUCCAGUAAACUCUUCCGGGAUGUCUCCUGUCAUAACGACAGCUGUGGAAUUCUGUGGAACGCUGAGGAGAUCGACAUCCACUUCUAAAUGGGUUUGUGUCUGUGGGUUUAUUUGUGAGGUUACAAGGAAACAGAAUCCAAAGAACCUCAAGACUCACUUUUGAAAGCCUCUGCAGAAAACUAAUAAUAUUUAAUGAAUGUCUAUAUCUGAAAUCCACACCUUAGUGGUAUUACAGGUGACCAAGAUCCAAAUACCCCUACACAGUUGCUGUACCUACAUCUUGGGGGAGAGUUUCAAAAGCUCCCAGGGGAAUUAGAAUCACAAGUCUCACUGAAAGCCUGUUGAAAAAUCUCUUCCCUUGUUGUUAAUGUACAGACAAUCCACUUUUCUAGUUUAAAGAGAUUAUGUUA
Molecule: long non-coding RNA, 542 nt
Organism: Chelonia mydas (Green sea turtle)
Lineage: Eukaryota; Metazoa; Chordata; Testudines; Cheloniidae
Exons: 3
Source: RefSeq, a predicted model, not a curated record